This 429-nucleotide ribosomal RNA is filed under the name uncultured prokaryote. RNAcentral describes it as "bacterial SSU rRNA". It matches the Rfam family "Bacterial small subunit ribosomal RNA", at positions 355 to 796 of the family's 1533-position model. The record is from RNAcentral.
UGGGGAAUUUUCCGCAAUGGGCGAAAGCCUGAUGCAGCCACGCCGUGUGGAGGAAGAAGGCCUUCGGGUUGUAAACUCCUUUCAGCAGGGAAGAAGCGCAAGUGACGGUACCUGCAGAAGAAGCCCCGGCCAACUACGUGCCAGCAGCCGCGGUAAUACGUAGGGGGCGAGCGUUGUCCGGAAUUAUUGGGCGUAAAGCGCGUGUAGGCGGCCCGCUAAGUCGGCUGUGAAAUCCUGGGGCUCAACCCCAGAACUGCAGUCGAUACUGACGGGCUUGAGGUAGCUAGAGGAGAGUGGAAUUCCCAGUGUAGCGGUGGAAUGCGCAGAUAUUGGGAGGAACACCAACGGCGAAGGCAGCUCUCUGGAGCUCACCUGACGCUGAGACGCGAAAGCAUGGGUAGCAAACAGGAUUAGAUACCCCCGUAGUCC